Heterocephalus glaber (naked mole-rat) is the source of this 744-nucleotide long non-coding RNA. RefSeq lists it as uncharacterized. Lineage: Eukaryota; Metazoa; Chordata; Mammalia; Rodentia; Bathyergidae. The record is from RefSeq and is a predicted model, not a curated record.
GAAAGCUGACCAGCACAGUGCCCUUGAUAUAAUAUGAUGAAAAUGGCACUUUACCUUUAUAGUUUUUCAUGAGAAAUGCAUCGGACAAAUCCCAAUAGAGGUUAUCCUAUGAAACACUUAUCCAGUACUCCUCAGAACUGUCAAAGUCAUUAAAGCCAAGAUAAGUCUGAGAAACUGUCACAGACCAGAGGAAUCAAAGGAGACAUGAAGACUAAAUGUGGUGUGGAGUGCUGAAUGGAGUCCUGGAACAGAGAAAAGACAUUAGCUUAUAGCUACUUGGAAACCAUGGGACCUUGGAUCAUCUCUACAAAGAUAAAGAUGCCAGGACAAUUUAAAGAGAUGGGAAAAUGCUAGGAAUCAGCUGGUACCUGGUGGCCAAGGAACAGCUGAUGCUUCCUUGGCAAAUUUUGAUGAUAGACAAGCACAGCAUGCAUAGCCUGAGAAUCGCAGGGCGACCAGUUCACCCACCAGAAGACAGAAGCUCCACACAAGAGAGAUUAAGUACAGCAACUUGCCUAAGACCACACUGUUCAGUGAAGAACUUGGACUUGACCCAGGUCUUACUCGCUGAAUCAAGUGGCAGGGUGAGCCUGCAGGAUUCACAGAAGUGUAUCACACUAUCGCAGGUUUGGGACAUCAUUAGACACCAGGGAAAUACAAACCCUAACCACAAGAUACCACUUCAUCCCUAUAGGGAUGCCAAGAAGAGAAAAAUCAGAUAAUAACAACAAGUGUUGGAAAGGA